Molecule: long non-coding RNA, 5354 nt
Filed under: Homo sapiens (human)
Lineage: Eukaryota; Metazoa; Chordata; Mammalia; Primates; Hominidae
Description: non-protein coding MIR22HG:36
Rfam family: mir-22 microRNA precursor family (bases 2224-2307)
Source: RNAcentral
AAGAGACAGCGCCGCCGGCCGUGGGGAGCGGACGCAGUGAUUUGCUCCCCCUCGUGCAGCAACCCCCACACCCAGCACCAGGUGGGUGUGAGCUGGCGACCCGGUCACGCAGCGGGGAGCCGCGGUAACGGGAUGGAGGGUGAAAGUGGGGUCCGGGCGGCCACACCCAGCCCUUCCGGGAGGAGAAGGGGCGGCGGGGGCAGGGGCGCCUCGGGGAGAGGGGCCUGGACUGGCCGGGUUAGUGUGUCAGGAGCUACGAGGAAAGAGUCUGGGACGGGAGUCGUGGCGGAAGGGCUGGCGGAGUGGCGGGGGGCGGGGGGAGAGCCGAGGGGCCGGAGGGCCGGGGGCGGCUCACCCGGCGGCCCCCGGUCUGAGGAUACAGGGGCCGGCCAUCUAGCCUGGGGAGGGUCUGGACCCCCCGAGCGGGCGGCGAGGAGGUGCUUUGCCUCUGCCGGCGUUCACUGGGUCAGGGCCAGUUCAGCGCCCUGGCAGGGAAGGGGUCGCUGGGCGGGCCGGCCCCUCCUCUCGUUCUCUCCAGGGGAUGUUAUGUAAGGGGGGAGGGGAGAGGAGUAGGGGGCGGCGGUGCCGGGGCCUUAUGCAACCCAAAGGUUAGGGUUUCACCGUGGUUGGGCGGGGGGAAGAGGGCAAGAGGAGGGCCUGGAAACUCUAACCCCCGCUCCCCAGACUAACUGGCCGUCUUGGGCCGAGAGAAGGUCACCUCUGCACCUCCCCCCAGCCUGUCCGAUUGUGAGGCCCCUAGCCCAGGCCUGGCCCUGACUGCCUGGGAAGCCGGCUGGCUGGGUGGGGCGCCUGGGUUAGUCAUCACUGGGCUGCCUCUCUCCCCACCUCUCGGCCAACUCUUGGCCCCUCCCCAUGGCCUCCGGCGAGGCUGUCACCCCCACCUCCCUCCGGCCCUGGUUCCAGCCUCCAACUCCUUUGGCCUGUCAUCCUGGCUGUCAGAUUGGGCUAGGAGCUGUCAGAGUGCCAGAGGGUUGAUGGAGCAGCUGGUCAGAGGGUCAGUGCCCUGGGCCCACCCCGCCCUGCAGCCAAGGGCACCUGCUUGGCACAGACUCUCAGCAGCUGCUGAGUCCUCUGGGUUGAACAGAGCUAUCUCAGACAGAGGAAGGUCGGACGGAGUUGGACUGGUCACCCAGGGGAAGGAAGAUACACAAAGUUCAUGCCUCCCAAGAGGGUUUCGGAAUUUGAACCGCACCCCGUAUCCCCCAAUCUUUCUUACCCUCUGAGUAUAGAAAUUCCAAGGCAAGACCGCCUUGGCCCCUCAGCCUGGCGUGGGCCAUGCCCUUGGACUGAGUGUCAGCACGGACCCGCCCUCCCCAGCUCACAUCCCCCGAGCCUGCCACGCCCCCAGCCCCCUCCCUGGGCCAUGCUGCAGGGCCCGGCUUUUCCUGCUGAUUCAUGCGUUGGAACUGUGGGGGCGGGGCUUGGAACUUGGAACAAAGUUCAGACAUGGAGGGGCCGGCAGACAGCCUGGAAUUCAUACCAGAUGUACCCGGAAUGCGCAAGCGGAAUGCCUGGCAUCUGAGAGUCCUGGGGAAGCUGCCCAGCCACCCUGCCCAUACCUCCCUCCCCUCCAGCCUGUGGUCCCCUGCCCGCCCCUCACAGCCCCGGCCACCCUGCCGAUACCUCCCUCCUCUCCAGCCUGUGGUCCCCUGUCCGCCCCUCACAGCCCCGGGGGCCUCUGCUGACCUUCUUUCAAACGCUAGGCCUCCUCCCUUCCUCACUCUUCCCCAAUCCAGGCCCCCAGAACUCUCCUUCCAGCUGAACUCCCUGGGAACAAGUCAGUUGGGCUGAUCACUGAACUCACAUUUCUGGACCUGAGGUACCACACUUCUAGUACCUGCGUGCUGGUGGGGUGUGUCCAGGGUCCCGGGCCCCACCCUGUCUGAAUGCUGAGGAGGCUGGGCCCCCAGGGGCCGCUAGGGCAGGGGAGGGUGAGAGCAGGACUGGGUUUCUCUAGACUCCAGUUCUGGAAAGAAGAGCAAGGGAAGUCUGUUUACAGCCACCUCUUGCUGCUCAGCGAGGUUAACAGCUUCCGCGGGCCCAGAUCAGAGCUGCAGCCCUGCAUUAGAAUCUCAGAGGUCUACUGGGGCAGGACCCUGAUGGCCAGCGAGUGGGUCAGCGUUGCAGCAACAUGCCCUGCUCAGAUCUUUCCCAUUUUCCCUCCCUUUCCCUUAGGAGCCUGUUCCUCUCACGCCCUCACCUGGCUGAGCCGCAGUAGUUCUUCAGUGGCAAGCUUUAUGUCCUGACCCAGCUAAAGCUGCCAGUUGAAGAACUGUUGCCCUCUGCCCCUGGCUUCGAGGAGGAGGAGGAGCUGCUUUCCCCAUCAUCUGGAAGGUGACAGAAAUGGGCUGGGAAGGUCCGAACAGCAGGGUGGAUGAUACGUUUUGGGCAAGUUGGAGAGCCUUUGCCCAGAUUGGCCCAGCAAGGAGCGGUUUUAGAUUAGAGACACUGGCUGGAUUGAGGAGUAGAAGGCUCAAACAACCCAAGGUUAGUUGGUCUUUGUGUGACAGUGGGAAGAAGUGGAGAGAACACUCUGUCUCCCCGACUUCCUUCUUGACCCUCCUUCCGUAUCUUUCAUUCUUCCCCACUGGCCUUUCCAGAUGAGGUCCAAAAGUAAGCUCACUCUUCAGGGAAAAGUGAUACUAAACCCAGGCGUGAGGAGUCAUCCUUCUGCUCUUACUUUUCCCUGCAUUUCCUUAGGCUGGCCCAGACUCUAGAUUCCUGGGCACUUACCUGUAUCUGAGACCCUUAGACCUCCUGUCUCAGUUUCUCCACCUGUGAGAUGGGCAGUCACACAGAUGAGUGUGCAUGAGGGAAUCAGAAGCCCAUCUGGGUUGACUCAGAACCCGGGCUCUCCCCCUGCUGUGGGUGGAAACAAAACACCUUUUCACAGAAGCUGUUGUCCCUCCCCCAUCCCUGAUACCAUCACCCAGAAGCUGGGUGGGGAAUGGGAAGCUGGAGGAGGGGGUUAGAGUUAGACCAAUGCGAGGAGCUAGUAAGAGCUCGCCUCUCCGUGACUUCCCCCCAUGCAAGGGUGGCCCAAGGCUUCCCCUGAUAUCCAAAGCAGGACAGCAGCCCCUUGGUGGGAUUCUAACUGCUGCUACUCUGUUUCUUUCCUCACUUUGCUUUCCAAGGUGGUAUGUGAUCCCCAGCUCAGGCCUGUGCAGACAGGAAAUUCUCCCCUGCAGCAAGUAGGGGAGGUGGGUUGUGGGAUGUGACCUCCUUCCAGAUAUCAGGCAGUGAGUGUAAACCUGCCACCUCCAGCCCUGAUCCAUUCUCACCUAGCGGCUACAGGAAGCUGUGUCUGUUCGAUUUGGUGGGAGGAGAUGUGCAGGGAGCUGUAUCUUGUCCUCCGCUUGUGAAAAACUCAAGGAUGUGGAGAAGAGUAGACCGUGGAACCCUGCUCUUCUGCAGCCAAGCUGAGGGGCAGGAUGCGUGUGGGACAGUGGUAGAGAAGCAGGGGAUAGACUCAUAGGCUGCAACAAAGGUGACUCUGUCCCUGGACACUGCCUCCGUACUUUCUCCUUGCUUCACUGGCCACAGCAUCUCCCUCCAGCCCUCGCUAUGUGCCUCUGCCAUCUUCACCCAUCAUGGAGCAGAGGUGAGGAGAGGCAGCCUGGGAAUAUGGAGACCAGUGAAGGACCAGGCCUGGAGAGCACAGGGUCCUACCUGGGCAUCCAGCAGAGGAGCCCCUAAAGGCCAGGAGCACCCCAAGAGGAGGGAGGGCAGCCAGCCUCCAUUGACGGCGAGCCUCCAGCCCUCUCCUACUUUGAUCACCAUUUCUCUCCAGGCUUUCUGCCUCCGAGAUGUGGCACCAUAGUGCGGUGCCCUGUGGCUUCACCGCCCUACUUCCACCUCCGCCCAGCCUGUAAUGUUUAUAUAAGCAGCCUCAAGGACCAAGAACCAUCUGCGAAAGGACACACACAGGAAAUUCAUAAAAGAAAUCUGAAUGGAUAAAACCAUGAAAAAAAGUAUGCUUCAUUAGUAAUUAAAGAAAGGCAAAUAGAGCUGGAAGCAUUUUUCCCUUAGCAAACCAUAACAGAAAAAAAUAAGACCCAAUAUUGGCAAAGAGACUACUGAAAAAACAUUCCCAUACAUUGCGUGUGGGAGUAUACAUCGGUGCAGGCUUCCUGGAUGACAGUUGGGUGAUAUGUGUCAUGUGGCCUAAAAGCCUCCAUGUCAUUUGACCUACGAAUUCUAUCUUUGGGAAUUUAUCCUAAGAAAAUACUUAAGGAUUUAGUUAGUGAUAAGAUGUUCAUCCCAGCAUUGCAAUGGAGAAAAAUGGGAAGCAAUGGUUUGGUUGGGAAUUUAUUCCUUUUCUGCUGUAACGAAAGUUUGCAAUAGGGGAUUGCUUAAGUAAAUUAUUGUAUCUCCAUCCAGAUGGUGGAGUACCGCGCAGACAUUAAAAGUCAUGUAAAAGAACAUCUGACUGAAAGAAAAAUGCUCCUUGAAUAUUAAAAGGUUGUAAAAAUAGUGCAUGUUAUGUGAUUUCAAUUUUGUUUUUUAAAAUAUGGGUGUAUGCUUGUAUACGUAGAGCAGAUAAAAAAGACGGAAGGCAUACUAAAAAAUGUUGAGUGGUUAUCUUUGUAUGGUGGAACAAAGUCACUGUAAUUUUCAUCUUUGGUUUUUCUGUAAUUUCCAAAUUUUCCACAUUUUGUAUUUCAUAUAAUAUAAUUUAAGAGAUCAGUGUUAUUAUUUAAACCUUUGGAGAGGUGGGGGUAGAAGAAUGAAGGGAAGACCUCAGCUUUUUGGUGAGAAGGUUUGGUUGGGGCACCUCUUGGUUUAUGAACUUAAUUCUUUGAAGUAGCUGGAAUCCUCCCUCUCAGCCUGCAGGAAACAGCUCUGACUUGCUGACUGUCUGCCAGCUGAAGAGGUGGAGUGGAGUAAGGUGGAAGGAAAGCAGUGCAACCUGGGGCUCUUCAGGUGGUGAGGGGCUGGGGGAGGCUCUUCCUCUUAAGGCUGGAGGGUUCUGGAAUCCUAACCGCCCUGCUACUAAGAGCAGGACAGGUCUGUUUUUCUCUUCUGACUCUGUCCCAGCCUUGAAGGGACCCUGUGUUACCUUUCCUUGCCCUCGGAUUGAAGAUAUUCUACCCACCCAACGGGUACCAAGCCCUUGGGGAAGGAAGUGCUUUUCAAGACUGGGGGCCAGCGAUUCCCUUUUGCGUCCUCUUCCUAAUGAGGCUCCUCCGUAGGGCCGAAAACAAUGCUGGGGGUCGGGGCGGGGCCCAGUGGGUCGCUUCUCCAACAUGGGGUCUCCUGGGGGUUGUGGGGGAGGGGGAGCAGAACUGCUGGAAUUACAGGUUUGCCGGGAUAUGGUAAAGGCGUGGAAACCU